UGUGUUGGGUUGGCUAGGGAGAAGUGUUUGGCUCCUUUUAGGGAUGCGAGGAUUAAGGUUGGGAAAGGGGUUUUGAGUUCGAAGGAAGCUGUGAAGUUGAUUGGAUGGGCUUCAAUGCCAAUGAGUAAAAUGAGUUCUAAGUGUUUGAUUGGUGGUGAAUUUGGUGUGACUAAUCGAAGGGCUAGUGAAUUGUUGGGUUCUGAUGAUUUUGUGAAACGAAUUUUGGAUGAGAGACAACACGGGACCGAAAGUUAAAACAAUGGUUAAUCGAGUAAGCACGCCCUGCAUGAUUUUGUUAUCUAAUAUGUCAGUAUCUUCAUAUAAAGAGGAGCUUCCUUUGAUUCUACUCAGCUUGCUUAGAUAAAAUCAUUGACAGUUACUCCAGCUACUCUCCAGCAAAUGUAAUUUUGAUGUUGUCUUCAGAAGCUACAACUCAUCUUCUCGUGGAUGCAUGUUGGUAUUUCAAGUGGGCGAAUGGACUUAAAUCGUUGGAUAUUUGUUGUUUUGUUAUUUUGUACCGUGUGUAAACUUUCUUAUAAUUUUGUACACUUUUGUAUCCUAAAUUAAUACUUUUGUAAAU
Molecule: long non-coding RNA, 580 nt
Organism: Vicia villosa (hairy vetch)
Lineage: Eukaryota; Viridiplantae; Streptophyta; Magnoliopsida; Fabales; Fabaceae
Exons: 3
Source: RefSeq, a predicted model, not a curated record